This 578-nucleotide ribosomal RNA is filed under the name uncultured bacterium. RNAcentral describes it as "bacterial SSU rRNA". It matches the Rfam family "Bacterial small subunit ribosomal RNA", at positions 338 to 916 of the family's 1533-position model. The record is from RNAcentral.
CCUACGGGAGGCAGCAGUAAGGAAUAUUGGUCAAUGGACGGAAGUCUGAACCAGCCAUGCCGCGUGCAGGAAGACGGCCCUACGGGUUGUAAACUGCUUUUGCAGGGGAAUAAACCCCGAUACGUGUAUCGGGCUGAAUGUACUCUGAGAAUAAGGAUCGGCUAACUCCGUGCCAGCAGCCGCGGUAAUACGGAGGAUCCAAGCGUUAUCCGGAUUUAUUGGGUUUAAAGGGUGCGUAGGUGGCCUGUUAAGUCAGGGGUGAAAGACGGUAGCUUAACUAUCGCAGUGCCCUUGAUACUGAUGGGCUUGAAUAAACUAGAGGUAGGCGGAAUGUGACAAGUAGCGGUGAAAUGCAUAGAUAUGUCACAGAACACCAAUUGCGAAGGCAGCUUACUAUGGUUUUAUUGACACUGAGGCACGAAAGCGUGGGGAUCAAACAGGAUUAGAUACCCUGGUAGUCCACGCCCUAAACGAUGAAUACUCGAUGUUGGCGAUAUACGGUCAGCGUCUAAGCGAAAGCGUUAAGUAUUCCACCUGGGGAGUACGCCGCAAGGGUGAAACUUAAAUUGAAUUGACGG